CAGUAGCCGCGGUAAAACGGAGGAUCCAAGCGUUAUCCGGAAUCAUUGGGUUUAAAGGGUCCGUAGGCGGUCUUGUAAGUCAGUGGUGAAAGCCCAUCGCUCAACGGUGGAACGGCCAUUGAUACUGCAGGACUUGAAUUAUUGGGAAGUAACUAGAAUAUGUAGUGUAGCGGUGAAAUGCUUAGAGAUUACAUGGAAUACCAAUUGCGAAGGCAGGUUACUACCAAUUGAUUGACGCUGAUGGACGAAAGCGUGGGUAGCGAACAGGAUUAGAUACCCGCGUAGUCCCUGUCUCUUAUAA
Molecule: ribosomal RNA, 301 nt
Filed under: uncultured bacterium
Lineage: Bacteria
Description: partial 16S ribosomal RNA
Rfam family: Bacterial small subunit ribosomal RNA
Source: RNAcentral